This 236-nucleotide ribosomal RNA is filed under the name uncultured bacterium. RNAcentral's name for it is "partial 16S ribosomal RNA". It matches the Rfam family "Bacterial small subunit ribosomal RNA", at positions 337 to 570 of the family's 1533-position model. The record is from RNAcentral.
ACCUACGGGGGGCAGCAGUGAGGAAUAUUGGUCAAUGGGCGCGAGCCUGAACCAGCCAAGUAGCGUGAAGGAUGACUGUCCUACGGGUUGUAAACCUCUUUUAUAAAGGAAUAAAGUGAGGCACGCGUGCCUUUUUGAAAGUAUUCUAUGAAAAAGCAUCGGCUAACUCCGUGCCAGCAGCCGCGGUAAUACGGAGGAUGCGAGCGUUAUCCGGAUUUAUUGGGUUUAAAGGGGGC